AAGUCGUAACAAGGUUUCCGUAGGUGAACCUGCGGAAGGAUCAUUACCGAGUGCGGGCCCUCUGGGUCCAACCUCCCAUCCGUGUCUAUCUGUACCCUGUUGCUUCGGCGUGGCCACGGCCCGCCGAAGACUAAUAUUUGAACACUGUCUGAAGUUUGCAGUCUGAGUUUUUAGUUAAACAAUAAUUAAAACUUUCAACAACGGAUCUCUUGGUUCCGGCAUCGAUGAAGAACGCAGCGAAAUGCGAUAAUUAAUGUGAAUUGCAGAAUUCAGUGAAUCAUCGAGUCUUUGAACGCACAUUGCGCCCCCUGGUAUUCCGGGGGGCAUGCCUGUCCGAGCGUCAUUGCUGCCCUCAAGCACGGCUUGUGUGUUGGGCUUCCGUCCCUGGUAACGGGGACGGGCCCAAAAGGCAGUGGCGGCACCAUGUCUGGUCCUCGAGCGUAUGGGGCUUUGUCACCCGCUCCCGUAGGUCCAGCUGGCAGCUAGCCUCGCAACCAAUCUUUUUAACCAGGUUGACCUCGGAUCAGGUAGGGAUACCCGCUGAACUUAA
Molecule: ribosomal RNA, 550 nt
Filed under: uncultured fungus
Lineage: Eukaryota; Fungi
Description: eukaryotic LSU rRNA
Rfam family: 5.8S ribosomal RNA (bases 190-343)
Source: RNAcentral